This 460-nucleotide ribosomal RNA is filed under the name uncultured bacterium. RNAcentral describes it as "partial 16S ribosomal RNA". It matches the Rfam family "Bacterial small subunit ribosomal RNA", at positions 338 to 795 of the family's 1533-position model. The record is from RNAcentral.
CCUACGGGAGGCAGCAGUGAGGAAUAUUGGUCAAUGGACGAGAGUCUGAACCAGCCAAGUAGCGUUAAGGAUGACUGCCCUAUGGGUUGUAAACUUCUUUUAUAUGGGACUAAAAUGUUCCACGUGUGGGAUUUUGUCUGUACCAUAUGAAUAAGGAUCGGCUACCUCCGUACCAGCAGCCGCGGUAAUCAGGAGGAUCCGAGCGUUAUCCGGAUUUAUUGGGUUUAAAGGGAGCGUAGGUGGAUUGUUAAGUCAGUUGUGAAAGUUUGGGGCUCAACCGUAAAAUUGCAGUUGAAACUGGCAGUCUUGAGUACAGUAGAGGUGGGCGGAAUUCGUGGUGUAGCGGUGAAAUGCUUAGAUAUCACGAAGAACUCCGAUUGCGAAGGCAGUUCACUGGACUGCAACUGACACGGAGGCUCGAAAGUGUGGGUAUCAAACAGGAUUAGAUACCCCAGUAGUC